This is a long non-coding RNA of Heterocephalus glaber (naked mole-rat), 630 nucleotides long. Lineage: Eukaryota; Metazoa; Chordata; Mammalia; Rodentia; Bathyergidae. The record is from Ensembl.
CAGACCCCUGAGACCUGUGUCUUGGAGUAUCUGCAAGCAGGAAGGAAAACAGGACUCAUCUCUCUCUCUUUUAAUUAGAGAAGAAAAUGUUGUCUGAAGUCUUCAGCAGCUCCUCAAGUCUCCUUGGCCAGAUCUGGAUAAGAGGAUUUCUAUAGCCUCUCUUGUUGUAGGUGGGAUGUCAUUAGAGCUUUCCUGGUUAGAAGAAGCUCUCAUCCACCCUGGUUGCCUAAGAUCUCUUUCCUGUAUUGCAUCAGACAGAAACAUGGGAGAAAAACAACUGGUUCUAGUGAAAUAGAGACAAGAAUGGCUGCCUGAAGAAGCUAGAAAGCCAUGCAGGACAGGAGCUGAAAGAGCAUCGUGCUAUGAGGAGCAGGUGUAACUCAGCCAUCUAACGCCUUAGUUAGGAGUUGAGCCCAAGGUCAAGACACAGUUUGAGUCAAAGAUAAUUCGAAUGAAAAUUAAGAUAUAAACAUAUAUUCAUACACAUAUAUAUCUUGCUAUGUUGCCCAGGCUGGCUUUGACCUCCUAGGCUCAAGUAUUCCUCUUGCAUCUGCCUCUCAUUCACUAAUUUUUAAAGGAAUCUUCUAUGGAAUUAAUAAACUAUUGUUAAAUGGAAAGAUACAAUUAAAU